This 501-nucleotide ribosomal RNA is filed under the name uncultured bacterium. RNAcentral describes it as "partial 16S ribosomal RNA". It matches the Rfam family "Bacterial small subunit ribosomal RNA", at positions 30 to 523 of the family's 1533-position model. The record is from RNAcentral.
AUUGAACGCUGGCGGCAGGCUUAACACAUGCAAGUCGAGCGGAGAUGAGGUGCUUGCACCUUAUCUUAGCGGCGGACGGGUGAGUAAUGCUUAGGAAUCUGCCUAUUAGUGGGGGACAACAUUCCGAAAGGAAUGCUAAUACCGCAUACGUCCUACGGGAGAAAGCAGGGGAUCUUCGGACCUUGCGCUAAUAGAUGAGCCUAAGUCGGAUUAGCUAGUUGGUGGGGUAAAGGCCUACCAAGGCGACGAUCUGUAGCGGGUCUGAGAGGAUGAUCCGCCAAACUGGGAUUGAGUAACGGCCCCGACUCCUACGGGAGGCAGCAGUGUGGAAUAUUGGACAAUGGGGGGAAACCUGAUCCAGGCAUGCCGCGUGUGUAAAGAAGGCCUUAUGGUUGUAAAGCUCUCUAGCGUGGGAAGAAGGUAGAUAUGGUGAAUAAUCAUGUUUGCUGACGGUACCACGAGAAUAAGCACCGGCUAACUUCGUGCCAGCCGCCGCGGUAA